UACUAGAGUAGCACUCGCAUAUCAAUAAGCGGAGGAAAAGAAACUAACAAGGAUUCCCCUAGUAACGGCGAGUGAAGCGGGAAGAGCUCAAAUUUGAAAUCUUAAAGGGUUUCCCUUUACGAAUUGUAGUUUAAAGAAGUGUUUUCUGUUGAGGUUUUGGUAAAAGUUCUUUGGAAUAGGACAUCAUAGAGGGUGAGAAUCCCGUAUUUGACCCUUACUUUCAACUUUGUGAUACACUUUCAAAGAGGUCGGAUUGUUUGGGAAUGCAGUCCAAAAUGGGUGGUAAAUUUCAUCUAAAGCUAAAUAUUGGCGAGAGACCGAUAGCGAACAAGUACCGUGAGGGAAAGAUGAAAAGAACUUUGAAAAGAGAGUUAAACAGUACGUGAAAUUGUCAAAAGGGAAGCGUUUGACACCAGUGUUGUUUUUCUGAAAAUCAAUUAAAGAACUGUUUAUGCUAAGCUGUUUAGACUUUAUCAGCUAAUCUGUUUAGUUUUGAGCUUUUCUUUAAUGCACUUUUCAGUUAACAAGUCAACAUCAAUUUCUUUUGCUGUAAAAAAGCUUGAGGAAGGUGGCUUGAGAUUCGUCUUAAGUGUUUAUAGCCUCUUGCCUAUGCAGUCGGAGAGAUUGAGGUCUGCAGCGUAGAUCCUUCGGGGCUAAAUGCAUUUGUGCUAAGUUAUAGCAUUUUAUAGACAACUUGUUGACUAUGAUUUGUCUUGUAGCUUACUCGCUUAUGUUAUUUUACCUACGCUUAGGAUGUUGAGCGCAUGUCUCUCUCU
This 776-nucleotide ribosomal RNA is filed under the name uncultured Neocallimastigales. RNAcentral's name for it is "partial large subunit ribosomal RNA". It matches the Rfam family "Eukaryotic large subunit ribosomal RNA", at positions 20 to 616 of the family's 3401-position model. Lineage: Eukaryota; Fungi; Neocallimastigomycota; Neocallimastigomycetes; Neocallimastigales. The record is from RNAcentral.